UAUUGGACAAUGGGGGGAACCCUGAUCCAGCGACGCCGCGUGAGUGAAGAAGGAGUUCGGUAUGUAAAGCUCUAUCAGCAGGGAAGAAAGAAAUGACGGUACCUGACGAAGAAGCCCCGGAUAACUACGUGACAGCAGCCCCGGUAAUACGUAGGGGGCAAGCGUUAUCCGGAUUUACUGGGCGUAAAGGGAGCGUAGACGGCGAUGCAAGUCUGAAGUGAAAGGCGGGGGCCCAACCCCCGGACUGCUUUGGAAACUGUAUGGCUGGAGUGCAGGAGAGGUAAGUGGAAUUCCUAGUGUAGCGGUGAAAUGCGUAGAUAUUAGGAGGAACACCAGUGGCGAAGGCGGCUUACUGGACUGUAACUGACGUUGAGGCUCGAAAGCGUGGGGAGCA
This 394-nucleotide ribosomal RNA is filed under the name uncultured bacterium. RNAcentral describes it as "bacterial SSU rRNA". It matches the Rfam family "Bacterial small subunit ribosomal RNA", at positions 362 to 770 of the family's 1533-position model. The record is from RNAcentral.